RNAcentral lists this long non-coding RNA (1739 nucleotides) under Canis lupus familiaris (dog). RNAcentral's name for it is "lncRNA (ENSCAFG00845003638.1)". The record is from RNAcentral. Lineage: Eukaryota; Metazoa; Chordata; Mammalia; Carnivora; Canidae.
UUAUAGCUUCCCCAGGAAGCCACCAUCCCCUUUCCUGAGAAGCUCCAGGACCCACACUCCUCAAUCCCUAGAUACCCCAAGUCCACCCCGCCACCCACGCAUCCACUCUGAUACCCUCAAUCUGGCCCUGAUCCACCUGGAUACCCCCGUCCACCCAGGCACCCCUCUCCAACGCUGUCCACCCAGAUACGCCCAACCCAGAUGCUUCUGGUCCACUCUGACACCCGCGAUCCACCCAGGCACCCCGCUUCCACAUGUGGACCUUACCCUCGUCCCAGCUCACUCACCCAGUCCCCUCAAGGCAGAAUGAUCAGGGUCAGGGGGACCCCCGAUCAGGCCAAUGGAAGAUGCUUUGUCUAAUCUCCUGCCUCCUGCUCCUUGCCCCCCCCUCCCCGGAAAAAUCCUUGCAAGGAGGAAGUUCUAGUUAGUGUCUUUAACAGAGAUCAGUGGGAAAGCUGGAGUGGUUUGGGGGCAGAGCCAAGAGGGUGUUGGAGGGAGGGGACCCCAGCCGCUCACCUGUGUGGCUCCCCAGAAGGCUUGGAAAGUUCUGGGAGAGAAGGGAGGGAAUGCAGCUGCUAAGCCUGAGUCCUGCCUUUAUCCGCAGCUGCCACGCCCUAGGCAAACCUGGGCAGGUAGAGAACAAGUCGGACUCCCUAAAGCUCUGGGGCUCUCUCACCCCAUUCCUGCUCUUAAAGAGACAGCUCCCACAUCCUUCUUCCCAGCCAGGGUGCUCCCUGAGGUCCCCAAGGUCACAGCAGCCUCAGCUUCUCGUGGAAGACACAGCCUGAUCCGACCUGCGCUUGGAGAUUCCCACUUGGCAGCAGUGGCUGGAGGGGCAGGGCCAUGUCCUGCCUGGUUUGAGGCUUCAUGGGAGGGAAUGGGAGACAGGGACACCCACCUCCUGUCUCACACCUGCAUCUGCCUUCGGGGCCACGGUUAUGAGGCAGACCCUGGACGGCCGCGGCCCAGGAUCGAUGGGGCCUGGUUUACACAGGAAAGACCCCAGGCCUGUCAUCCCGACUCUGCCCACAGCGACGGGGAAAGGCUCAGUUAAGGAAAAGCUUGGUUGUGUUUUGUGACCCCCUCCCAAAAAGGCAUUGACAGCAACUGCCCGUGGAGAAGAUCGAAUCCUUCGACAGUGCCCACCUGCCCAAAGACAGGCAGGAGAAGAUGUCUGAGAGGCAAGACACUCGGGAAAAAAAAAUAAUAACUGGGACACAGAUACAUGGAGCAAAAGCAGAUGAGGGAAAAUAGGAAGAAUCGAUGGAUCUUCAUAAGGAGUAUUUGAGUUCGUUGUACUCUUAAAAUUUUUUUUUAUUUAUUCAUUUGAUAGAGAGAGUGCGAGACAGCACAAUCCUGGGGGAGAGGCCGAGGGAGAGGGAGAUGCCCACUCCCCCCACUGCCCCAGCAGGGAGCCCGAUGUGGGGCUCGACCCCAGGACCCCGGGAUCAUGACCCGAGCCCAAGGCAGACGCUUCAUCCGCUGAGCCACCCGGGCGCCCCUCGUUGUGCUCUCUAUGUAACUUUCCUGGCGUGAUAAAAAUUCAAGAUCAAAGUUGGCGAAGAUAAAUAAAAAUUCUUAAAUUGAGGUUAACACCAAAGAGGCAACUGCAGGGGGAAAAAAAAAAAGGCAAAAGUAGGGGAAAAAAAAGUAAAUUCGGAAUUGGAUAAGUUGUUACAGGAGCAGAAUUGGAUUGGACUUCGAAAAUUGUGUAUUGAGGUAUUUGGCACGUAGUACAU